Molecule: ribosomal RNA, 450 nt
Filed under: uncultured bacterium
Lineage: Bacteria
Description: partial 16S ribosomal RNA
Rfam family: Bacterial small subunit ribosomal RNA
Source: RNAcentral
GUGGGGAAUAUUGGACAAUGGGCGAAAGCCUGAUCCAGCCAUGCCGCGUGUGUGAAGAAGGUCUUCGGAUUGUAAAGCACUUUAAGUUGGGAGGAAGGGCAGUAAGUUAAUACCUUGCUGUUUUGACGUUACCGACAGAAUAAGCACCGGCUAACUUCGUGCCAGCAGCCGCGGUAAUACGAAGGGUGCAAGCGUUAAUCGGAAUUACUGGGCGUAACGCGCGCGUAGGUGGCUUUGUAAGUUGGAGGUGAAAUCCCCGGGCUCAACCUGGGAACUGCUUUCAAAACUGCUGAGCUAGAGUACGGUAGAGGGUGGUGGAAUUUCCUGUGUAGCGGUGAAAUGCGUAGAUAUAGGAAGGAACACCAGUGGCGAAGGCGACCACCUGGACUGAUACUGACACUGAGGUGCGAAAGCGUGGGGAGCAAACAGGAUUAGAUACCCGGGUAGUCC